CGGCAGCGGGUCCUUCGGGAUGCCGGCGAGCGGCGGACGGGUGAGUAAUGCCUAGGAAUCUGCCUGGUAGUGGGGGAUAACGUUCGGAAACGGACGCUAAUACCGCAUACGUCCUACGGGAGAAAGUGGGGGAUCUUCGGACCUCACGCUAUCAGAUGAGCCUAGGUCGGAUUAGCUAGUUGGUGAGGUAAUGGCUCACCAAGGCGACGAUCCGUAACUGGUCUGAGAGGAUGAUCAGUCACACUGGAACUGAGACACGGUCCAGACUCCUACGGGAGGCAGCAGUGGGGAAUAUUGGACAAUGGGCGAAAGCCUGAUCCAGCCAUGCCGCGUGUGUGAAGAAGGUCUUCGGAUUGUAAAGCACUUUAAGUUGGGAGGAAGGGCAGUCGACUAAUACCUGGUUGUUU
Molecule: ribosomal RNA, 407 nt
Filed under: Metapseudomonas resinovorans
Lineage: Bacteria; Pseudomonadati; Pseudomonadota; Gammaproteobacteria; Pseudomonadales; Pseudomonadaceae
Description: bacterial SSU rRNA
Rfam family: Bacterial small subunit ribosomal RNA
Source: RNAcentral